CAAAUCACAGCGCUCCAGACAGAACCCAUUGACACCUAUCAACUCUAAUUCGGAAAACGCUGCUAUUUUAACCUAGCAUACUCAUAGUUCAGCAGGUGAUUAUCAACAACUUGCAAGUUAACUUUAGGCAUAUACUCGGAUUUCCCCCUGAAAGGAAAGUAUUUUGGUGAAUUAGUUUGAGAACGUUUGAACGGGAAUAUUGCGUCAAUAAAGGUGAUUCUACUCUGCGUUAACCGGGGCCACUAGUCUACCUGUCACGGAAUUCUUUCAACCAACCACUCCCACCCGGUCCCCUCGUGCUGUCUUUCCGUGGGUCGCCUGCCUCGCCCGCUAACCGUGAUGGCGUGCGGUUGGAGUCCGGGAGCUGUCACGGUUUGGAGAACUACCGUUUUCCUGCUCAACAUCGCGUGCGCAGCGUCGGCCAAGAGACACGUCGUCUACUGGAACUCCACCAACACUAGAUUGACGGGAGGGGAUCUGUCCAUCCAGGUGAAUCUGAAUGACUACCUGGAUAUCUACUGCCCCCACUACCCUCACCCGUCUCCCCCCAGUGAGGAGGCCUACCCCCAGGCCCCACCAGACAGCCUGGCCCUGUACCUGGUGGCUGAGGGGGGGUUCAGGGGCUGUGUGGAGACCCAGGGGGCCAUCAAGAGGUGGGAGUGUAACAGCCCCCGUGCCCCCUUCGGCCCUGUCCGCUUCUCAGAGAAGAUCCAGCGCUUCACCCCCUUCUCUCUGGGCUUCGAGUUCCUCCCCGGACACCACUACUACUACAGCUCAUUGCCUACAGGGGAAAGCUCCCCGCUGCCCUGCAUGAAGCUGCGAGUCACAGUGUGCUGUGAGCCCAGGGCUGUUCUGUAAAUGUGUUGGGAUGAGGAUACACGAGGAGAGAGCAGGAUGAGACUGAGAUGGAAGAGAGGAGAGAUGAAAAAGUCUCUCUGUCUCUCUGUCCAUUAGUGGUGCAGCUGUUGUUGUGCUCCCUGCAGCAACGCCUCAUACUCUCUCUGGUUCCUUCCUGUAGAGGUUCCCUUUUAUCUAACAGCCAGCUUGGCAGUGUGGCACAUACAGUGUGUGUGAGGACCCAGCGAUGGCCGUUCCCAUCCUUUAGCCACAGUCUCUCUCUGGCUGCUCUGGAUGCUUUCAACUCUAUCUCUACGACUGUCUCUACCUCUACGACUGUCUCUACGACUGUCUAUCUCUACGACUGUCUCUAUGGCUAUCUCUGUCUCUGCAACGGUCUCGGUCUCUUUCUCUGCAACGGCCUCGGUCUCUUUCUCUGCAACGGUCUCUUUCUCUGCAACGGCCUCGGUCUCUUUCUCUGCAACGGCCUCGGUCUCUUUCUCUGCAACGGCCUCGGUCUCUUUCUCUGCAACGGCCUCGGUCUCUUUCUCUGCAACGGCCUCGGUCUCUUUCUCUGCAACGGCCUCGGUCUCUUUCUCUGCAACGGCCUCGGUCUCUUUCUCUGCAACGGCCUCGGUCUCUUUCUCUGCAACGGCCUCGGUCUCUUUCCCUGCAACGGCCUCGGUCUCUUUCCCUGCAACGGUCUCGGUCUCUUUCCCUGCAACGGUCUCGGUCUCUUUCCCUGCAACGGUCUCGGUCUCUUUCCCUGCAACGGUCUCGGUCUCUUUCCCUGCAACGGUCUCGGUCUCUUUCCCUGCAACGGUCUCGGUCUCUUUCCCUGCAACGGUCUCGGUCUCUUUCCCUGCAACGGUCUCGGUCUCUUUCCCUGCAACGGUCUCGGUCUCUUUCCCUGCAACGGUCUCGGUCUCUUUCCCUGCAACGGUCUCGGUCUCUUUCCCUGCAACGGUCUCGGUCUCUUUCCCUGCAACGGUCUCGGUCUCUUUCCCUGCAACGGUCUCGGUCUCUUUCCCUGCAACGGUCUCGGUCUCUUUCCCUGCAACGGUCUCACUAUCCUGUCUUUUUCAAACAACAAACCGUUCUCUGAAUGUACUUUUCAGGUGGCCAUUCCCUGUAGUUGGGGACGAGCACUCAAACACACACGGGGAUCUGAAGGACAGAGCAGUGACAGAGGGUCCAUCAGGCCAACUUUUUCUCUAACUGAAAUGAACUAAAACAGCCGUAAAGAGAGCACGGCAGGUAGGACACAGUUGCACGUGACACAGGAAGCUCCUAAGCAACCGUAGGGUCCAAGCAGAACAAGCAGGAACAAGGUACUCCAGCUCUUCACAGUGAUGUGUGUUCAAUGAGGACAGUUCCUCUUUCUCUCCUCCUCCUCCUUGUUCCACUCUUGAACUUCCUCUCUAUCUAACAUCCCUCUAUUCAAGCUGACCUCCUGAGUAUCUACCAUGCCCACUGUAGAUGGCCUGCCUCACCCACUCAGUCCCUACUUUAAACUAGCCACACCUCAUAGGGAGGCCAAGUCUUCAUUUCAGACCCUCAAAUGACUGCAAUAGGGUAGACUUCAACACUACACACACUCCAACUACACACACUCCAACACAUCACCUCUGCCUUUUCUGGGGUGGCACUAAUCUUUCUCUUGGCCUCCUCUUUUCUCUCUGUCCACUCCUCUCGUUCCCCCUCUUCCAUCCCUCGCUCCUGACUAAGCUCCUUCUGAAACAAAUUGACACUAAUCUUUCUCUUCUUGGUCUCCUCUUUUCUCUCUGUCCACUCUCUCCUCUCGUUCCCCCUCUUCCAUCCCUCGCUUCUGACUAAGCUCCCUCUGAAACAGACUGACACUAAUCUACCAUCAAAGCUCUCAUUCUUCAUUUCCCACCUUUAUCCACUCCAUCCUGUAGACUCCAUCUGUGUCGUCUCUCUUCCUCUCUCUCUCUCUCUUCCUCUCUCUCUCUCUUCCUCUCUCUCUUUCUCUCUCUCUCUCUCUCUGUGUGUGUGAACAUAAUGUGCCAGCUGAGCCAAAGUGGAUCAUCCAGACGUUGUUCUGUUAAAUUACUACGGAGAGGACCAGACUUGGAGUUGACUGCUUCUGAACAGAACCAUGUUUUUGAGUUGACGUCAUUGGAUUUGAAAGUCAUUGUUUUUUAGAUGAAAAACUACUUUUUUUUUAUAUCCAAAGUGGGACCAACUGUUAAACACAGUAACACCAAAUGUUGACCAAACUUUAUUAAAAAAGUUAACCAGUGACGACACUGCCUAAACCAGGAUAUGCUGUGUGAGUGGGACCCUGGGAAUGAUGAACUGGAAUAUUGUAACUGCUCUGCUACGCCCUCUACUGGGAUCAUACUGGUUAGACUGGUCCAACUGGGCUGUAACACCUGACAGUCUGUGGGAGUAAUCUGACCAUAUCUGGAAUUAACUGGACUGUGUCUGGUGGUUUACCUCUGUCUUAAAAGGCAAUCAAAAGGAAUUGUGGGAAACACACUGAGGGUACCGCCUCACUUCACCUCACACGCACCAAACCACAUCGGCUGAUUGACGGAUGCUCCUCACCAACCAGGUGUGCAGGUACACUAUUUAGACUGUCUGCUGAGCACUUAACCAGGCGAGGACCUUCAUCAAUGAGAAGAGGCCUAAAGCUGGUGUUUGUUUGAAUAGAGGUUUUUGUUUUAGUGCAGUAAGGAUUCUGCUUUAGGUGUUUCAGUUAAAUAUUGAUGUUUUGUAGAGGUCCUGUAAUGUUGGCAUCCAUUUUGAUUAUUUGAAACAUCCUGAAAAAAUCUACAUUUUUACAUGGCUGAACUUUUUUUUAUGUUUACAGGUCUAGAUUAACUCCAAUUGUUGUUGUUUAUAGUGCUAUCAAGAAUAACUAAAGCACUUUAGUACAGGUUACCCACGUAUUUCUCUUUAAGUAAAAAAAAAAUACAUUUUUUCAUUAAACAAAUACCAUUAAAAAAUGCAAUUUUAUUAUCAAAGCAAUUUAAAUUAAUACAUUUUUAUUUUGAUUGUCAUAUCUUUUAUCUGUUGGUUAGAUAUGAUUUCAUGUUCCAUUCACAAAAGUAAUAUAUCACUAAAUUGCAUUUACAGUAGAAGCGUGUUACAAAUAUCACAAACCUAACAAAUAUACAUGAUUUAUUUUAAAAAGUGAGAGAUUUAACUGAAAUUAUUCUUAUUAAUUUAAUCCCACAAAAAUGAGUGUAUAUUUAAUUAAAUUCAUAAUUCUGAUAAAUUGCUUAUCUUAAUCCAACAUAAUUAAUCAUUAUUAAAUACAGGCUAUUCGGGGCUGCAGUUUUUCCCACAUUCUGAUGUUGUCUUUGGUAACAGCAUUUAGAAAACAAUGUUUUCUUUCAGAAUAAAUAUGUUGACUCAGUUAUGCCUGUAAGCACUUACUCAGAGAGAUGAGUCUGUAGUAUUACUUUACACACACAUUUGGAUAACAAUAUACUUAAAUGACAAUUAAAUAUUUUGUUCUAGUCUACGCAGGUUAUUCAGUAAUAUAAUGACUAUUCCAGGGGUUUAAACACUGAUGUCUGGAACCUUGUUGUAUAAAGCUGGUGCUCCCAGAUUGAGUUUUUUUUGUUUUCACAUUUUAGUGAAGUAUGAAGCAUCUUCUAUGAAGAGCGAACUGCAAACAGCCCUUUUAUACAAGGUGAGAUGACAAAAUAAAGAUGAUUGCAAUAACUGUUGAAAUUUC
Molecule: RNA transcript, 4546 nt
Organism: Oncorhynchus kisutch (coho salmon)
Lineage: Eukaryota; Metazoa; Chordata; Actinopteri; Salmoniformes; Salmonidae
Gene: efna4
Gene name: ephrin A4
Exons: 8
Source: RefSeq, a predicted model, not a curated record